AUGAACGCUAGCUACAGGCUUAACACAUGCAAGUCGCGGGGAAACGGCAUCGAAAGCUUGCUUUUGAUGGGCGUCGACCGGCGCACGGGUGAGUAACGCGUAUCCAACCUGCCCAUCACUUGGGAAUAACCUUGCGAAAGUAAGACUAAUGCCCAAUGACAUCCCACGAAGGCAUCCGAAUGGGAUUAAAGAUUUAUCGGUGAUGGAUGGGGAUGCGUCUGAUUAGCUUGUUGGCGGGGUGACGGCCCACCAAGGCAACGAUCAGUAGGGGUUCUGAGAGGAAGGUCCCCCACAUUGGAACUGAGACACGGUCCAAACUCCUACGGGAGGCAGCAGUGAGGAAUAGUGGUCAAUGGGCGAGAGCCUGAACCAGCCAAGUAGCGUGCAGGAUGACGGCCCUAUGGGUUGUAAACUGCUUUUAUAAGGGAAUAAAGUGGGUCACGUGUGACUUUUUGCAUGUACCUUAUGAAUAAGGACCGGCUAAUUCCGUG
RNAcentral lists this ribosomal RNA (491 nucleotides) under uncultured bacterium. RNAcentral describes it as "partial 16S ribosomal RNA". It matches the Rfam family "Bacterial small subunit ribosomal RNA", at positions 29 to 507 of the family's 1533-position model. The record is from RNAcentral.